RNAcentral lists this long non-coding RNA (359 nucleotides) under Androctonus crassicauda. Lineage: Eukaryota; Metazoa; Arthropoda; Arachnida; Scorpiones; Buthidae. The record is from RNAcentral.
AGAAGUGUGACACCAUGACAUCACCCUCACUGCUUAUGACUCCCAGGACCAUGCAAGAAAUUGUGUGUGCAUGACAGUGGGUACAUCAGAGGCAUUCUUGCAUAUCCAUUGGUUUUUCUGGCAAUUCACUUUUUUGUCCUGGAUGAAAUUCUUCUCAUCUGAGAAGAAUCUCAGGAAACUAGUGCUAUCAUGCUUGAUGUCGUUAAGCAGAGCCUGGACCUUCAUUUUCCGAUUGAUCUUAUUCUUUUUGGUCAACCAUUGUCGGUUCCUGAGGACAAAAGAUUUGUACCUCAAAUCCUGCACUGCCAGACUGACUAUUGACCUCACCAUGCCUAUUUCUCUUGCCAGGUCAACCAUAC